Long non-coding RNA from Sardina pilchardus (European sardine), 1208 nucleotides. RefSeq lists it as uncharacterized. The transcript is spliced from 4 exons. The record is from RefSeq and is a predicted model, not a curated record. NCBI's taxonomy places the organism in Eukaryota, Metazoa, Chordata, Actinopteri, Clupeiformes, Clupeidae.
AGGCUGUCAACCGGUGGCUUGUGAAGAAAGAUGGAGGUCAUUUGAACCCUGAAGAAAGAAAUGUGGUCAUUCAUGCGAUGGCAUUAUUGAAAGCAUGCCUGACGGAGGAAGAAUUUGCCAGUGUCUGUCAAGCAAUGCAUUGAAAUCGACACCUUUUUGGGUAGUCCCCACGUAUCAAGUUACCUGAAGACCAAUUGGUUUAGUUAUGCAGAGCUAUGGGUGAACUUUGGAAGAAAGUUCUAUCACUGUACCAGUGAGACCAACAACAAGGCUGAAAGGUUCUUCUUGACUCUUAAAUACCAGUUUCUUCGAGGUCAGGCAAACAGAAGAGUUGACCAACUUCUCCUCUUGCUGUGUGGCGAUGUGGAAAAGUAUUACAGCUACAUGGAUGACCUCACUGAAGCAGGACGACUGACACCAUCCACCCCUGCUGCUCACCAGGCUGCUGCGGUGCUGUUUGAAAAUGGCGUGGGCGCAGAUUUGGAGAUAGAAGCUGGGCAGUGUUCUGUGCCGUCACAGACAACCAACACAAUGUACAAAGUAGACUUGCUACAUUUUACAUGUGAGUGCACCUAUUUCCAGAUGGGAAACAUGUGCAAACAUCUUCUCCUGUUGAAACUUGAGGUAGAUAGCAGAGGUAUGGACAUAGAAAAAAUCAGAAAUGACAAAGCACUAGAAAUGAUUAGCCUGAAUCUUUAUCAGCAAACAGAAGAGGAAAUAACAAUUUUUAAUACUGAUGGGGCUAUAAGUAUUGUGAAUAGGCAAACUCCAAAUUUGUGCACAUGCAUUGCCAAUAGCUUUGGAGAAAGAUGUGUUUGCACACAUGUCGUACAUGCCCUUGAACCUCCAGUAAUUUGCACAGAUCCUGAAGAAAAUGCACACAUGUCUGAAGCCUCCAAUGGUAACCCUUCCAUACAGUUAAUGUUAUCAGACCUACUGGAGUGGAGCAAGUCUGACACAUUUGUACAGACCCCGGAAUUGUACAAUACAAUCCAAAAAGCACACAGACUGGCUAUGGGAAAAUUCACCACUGUGACCAAGAAAAGGAAAAUUACCCCUCUGCAUGAUUACCGCAAAAAAAUAAAGAAAGCUAGACAGCAGGCAGCAGUUAUCCAGAACUUUAAAAAGAAAAGAUGCGCAAGAACAACUUAAUUCUAUUAUUCAUGAAAGCACCUGUCCUGAUGAGUUGAUGAAUUCUUAAGUUGAUU